This 315-nucleotide ribosomal RNA is filed under the name Triticum aestivum (bread wheat). Its description in RNAcentral is "partial small subunit ribosomal RNA". The record is from RNAcentral. Lineage: Eukaryota; Viridiplantae; Streptophyta; Magnoliopsida; Poales; Poaceae.
AUGGCCGUCGUCAAAAGAUACAGAAAUCCUGAUAACUUAAUCACUAUGACUUGCAACCCUUGCUGGAAGGAGAUAACUUCCAGACUUGAACCCGGACAAACACCACAAGACCAUCCUGACCUGGUGGCCUGAGUAUACAAGGCCAAGAUGCGGAGUCUGAAAGAUUUAUGAUAAAAAAAGUACUUUGGUAUGGUUGUGGCGUAUGCUCAUGUUACCGAUUUCAAAAAAGGGGUUCUGCCGCAUGAGCACUUCCUGCUGAUCAUGGCCUCAGAUAGUAAGCUAACAAAUCCAGACUCCUAUGAUAGGGUAAUCUAA